Erpetoichthys calabaricus (reedfish) is the source of this 390-nucleotide long non-coding RNA. RefSeq lists it as uncharacterized. The record is from RefSeq and is a predicted model, not a curated record. The transcript is spliced from 3 exons. NCBI's taxonomy places the organism in Eukaryota, Metazoa, Chordata, Cladistia, Polypteriformes, Polypteridae.
UGGGUCAGUUGCAGGGAAUGUCAUAUCCCUAGAACCUGUGUCUGACCAAUGAGAUAUUGACAAAGGUCAAAUAUUUGAUGAAGACACUGUGUCUGAUUAUUCAUCAGGAGAAGAGGAACCUGUAGCCAGCACACAUGUCCCUUUUGGAACGAAGUCCACAUCAAAAAAAGGAGAUGGUGAGAAAAAUGUGAGGGCUCUAUACAAGAGAUAUCUUCAACUGAAAAUCGCAUACAGAAAACUAAAAAUGAGAAAAAUACAGCAGGACAUGGAACUUCAUGAACUGAGGACAACCAAAAUGAAGUUGCAGAUACAAAUACUAGAAAAACAAUUGGUAACAAAAUUCUCUUAUCUCUUUCCCAUAUGUAUAUGUGUAUGCGGGAGUAUAUACUU